AAGCGUUACAAUUCAUUCCCGAAAGGAUUCACCUCUGGGUGAAGAUGCCUUGUAACCAAAUAAUUAUAUUAAUGGGGGAAUUUCCAUAUG
Molecule: small RNA, 90 nt
Filed under: Ligilactobacillus equi
Lineage: Bacteria; Bacillati; Bacillota; Bacilli; Lactobacillales; Lactobacillaceae
Also listed under: 1 other name
Description: Lactobacillus equi SAM-III sequence
Rfam family: SAM-III riboswitch aptamer (SMK box)
Source: RNAcentral